This 72-nucleotide transfer RNA is filed under the name Camelus bactrianus (Bactrian camel). It matches the Rfam family "tRNA". Rfam says of the family: Transfer RNA (tRNA) molecules are approximately 80 nucleotides in length. RNAcentral also lists the same sequence under 2 other names. Lineage: Eukaryota; Metazoa; Chordata; Mammalia; Artiodactyla; Camelidae. The record is from Rfam by way of RNAcentral.
GAGGGUAUAGCUCAGUGGUAGAGCACGUGCUUAGCAUGCACUAAGUCAUGGGUUCAAUCCCUAGUACCUCCA